UACGUAGGCAGCAAGCGUUGUUCGGAGUUACUGGGCGUAAAGGGUGCGUAGGCGGCUUUUUAAGUCUGGUGUGAAAUCUCCCGGCUCAACUGGGAGGGUGCGCCGGAUACUGAGGGGCUAGAGUGUGGGAGAGGAAAGUGGAAUUCCUGGUGUAGCGGUGAAAUGCGUAGAUAUCAGGAGGAACACCGGUGGUGUAAACGGCUUUCUGGACCAUAACUGACGCUGAGGCACGAAAGCGUGGGUAGCGAACAGG
RNAcentral lists this ribosomal RNA (253 nucleotides) under uncultured bacterium. RNAcentral describes it as "partial 16S ribosomal RNA". It matches the Rfam family "Bacterial small subunit ribosomal RNA", at positions 524 to 776 of the family's 1533-position model. The record is from RNAcentral.